GCUGACACAACAACUAAGUCACAAAUAUACAUUGCUGAAUAAAACAAACCAUUUGACCAACCCAGUAGAUGCGAUCGAACAGUCACACGUCACAACAAAGUACCGCAAGGGAACCACCAUCAAGCAAUAAACAGCAAAGACUAAUCCUUGUACCUUUUGCAUCAUGAUUUAGCAAGAACACAAGAACAAGAAGAAUCACAGCUCUUUUCCCCGAAACCGAACGAGCUAUUUUUAAGCAGUCUAACGGACGCACCCCUCUAUGUAGCAAAAUAGUGGAAAGAC
Molecule: ribosomal RNA, 282 nt
Filed under: Crotalus transversus
Lineage: Eukaryota; Metazoa; Chordata; Lepidosauria; Squamata; Viperidae
Description: partial 16S ribosomal RNA
Source: RNAcentral